Transfer RNA from Tuber melanosporum (Perigord truffle), 72 nucleotides. It matches the Rfam family "tRNA". From Rfam's summary of the family: Transfer RNA (tRNA) molecules are approximately 80 nucleotides in length. NCBI's taxonomy places the organism in Eukaryota, Fungi, Ascomycota, Pezizomycetes, Pezizales, Tuberaceae. The record is from Rfam.
GGUUUUGUAGUGUAAUGGCUAGCACCCGGGAUUCUGAUUCCCGUAAUCUGGGUUCGACUCCCAGCAAGACCU